Molecule: ribosomal RNA, 583 nt
Filed under: Cheilosia illustrata
Lineage: Eukaryota; Metazoa; Arthropoda; Insecta; Diptera; Syrphidae
Description: eukaryotic LSU rRNA
Source: RNAcentral
GAGUUCAAGAGUACGUGAAACUGCUUAGAGGUUAAGCCCGAUGAACCUGAAUAUCCGUUAUGGAAAAUUCAUCACUAAUACUAUGAUAUUUAUAAUAUUAUAGAAAUGGUGUGCAAUUUUUCCAUAUAAGGACAUUGUAAUCUGUUAAUGUAUUAAAUAUUUAUUAAAAGAUCAUAUACAUAAGUUUAUUCAAAUUAGUUAUUUUCGGAUUUCUAACAUAGAAUAAAUGUAUUUGAUUUAAUAAAUCAUUGACAGAUUUUAUUAUAAUAUAGUGCUCAAAUUUUGAACGAAAUUUUACAAUAAUAUGAUAAUUCAAUUUGUUAUAUUUAUUGUAUGCGCUUAUAUGAUUAACAAUGCGAUAGAUUCAGGAUACCUUCGGGACCCGUCUUGAAACACGGACCAAGGAGUCUAACAUAUGUGCAAGUCAUUGGGUAUUUUUAAUAAAACCCAAUGGCAUAAUUAACUUAACUGUUUUUUAAAUGGGAUUAGUUUAUAUUUUAUUAUGAAAUAUUAAUUCAAUCCCGGGGCGUUCUAUAUAGUUAUGCAUAAUGAUAUUUAUAUUAUUUAUGUCUCUAACUAGAGC